GCGCGGGCCUCAAGAGGGGGGAAAGAAGCCAAGAUCUUAUUCUGAUCCCAUUGCCCUUCGUCGGUUAUGAAACUCGACACCAAAGCUUUAUCAUCAUCUCGGUGGUUGGGUGUAGCGAUCCCCUAUCCGAGUCUAGGGAUCCAUGCAUCAGUGAAGGCCCUAAUCUUCUUUCCCGAUCCCACUUUCCAUCUCAAGCCCUCUGCCAACAGAUCCUUACCCCAUCAAAUUUCUUGUUAAUAUUAAAUUCAAAGAAAAUGACUAAAAUGUCCUAUUAUGUAUAUACAUAGUGUAUGAAUAGCAUCACUCUUUUUCAAAUCUCAAUUGAUCGAGGUUGUCCUAAAAAUAAAUAAAAAAAUAAAAAAAAAACUUAAUUUUAAUAUUUAAACACGAAAUAUAUAGUAUAUAAAAAAAAGGAAUACAAGUUCGGUUUGAAAUUGCAGAGCCCUUUUACGAGAUCCUUUUUUUUUUAUUGAGUUACACAUUUUACGAGAAUUAAUCAGCC
Molecule: long non-coding RNA, 502 nt
Filed under: Salvia miltiorrhiza (redroot sage)
Lineage: Eukaryota; Viridiplantae; Streptophyta; Magnoliopsida; Lamiales; Lamiaceae
Description: long non-coding RNA (SMIL_LNC000244)
Source: RNAcentral